This 508-nucleotide ribosomal RNA is filed under the name uncultured bacterium. RNAcentral describes it as "bacterial SSU rRNA". It matches the Rfam family "Bacterial small subunit ribosomal RNA", at positions 28 to 527 of the family's 1533-position model. The record is from RNAcentral.
GACGAACGCUGGCGGCGUGGAUUAGGCAUGCAAGUCGAACGGUAUCAUCCUUUCGGGGGUGAGAGAGUGGCGAACUGGUGAGUAACACGUAGGUUAUCUACCCUCAAGACGGGGACAACCCAGGGAAACUUGGGCUAAUACCGGAUGUGAGCAACUUUUAGUUGUUUGAAAGGUGGCGUAAGCUGUCGCUUGGGGAUGAGCCUGCGUCCUAUUAGUUAGUUGGUGAGGUAACGGCUCACCUAGGCAAUGAUAGGUAGGCGGCCUUAACGGGUGGUCGCCCACACUGGGAUUGAGAUACGGCCCAGACUCCUACGGGAGGCAGCAGUCGAGAAUAGUCUACAAUGGUCGGAAGACUGAUAGUGCGACGCCGCGUGAACGAUGAAUCCCUUCGGGGUGUAAAGUUCUUUUAUAUGUGAGCAGCGCUUCUUAUAUUAACAGUAUGGGGAGAGAGAUAUUAGCAUAUGAAUAAGCAACGGCUAACUCCGUGCCAGCAGCCGCGGUAAUCUCG